This 578-nucleotide long non-coding RNA is filed under the name Helianthus annuus (common sunflower). RNAcentral's name for it is "sRNA HanXRQr2_Chr01g0013231". Lineage: Eukaryota; Viridiplantae; Streptophyta; Magnoliopsida; Asterales; Asteraceae. The record is from RNAcentral.
GGGCGGUCAGCAAUCUGUAACUUGGAUCGCAGAAAAUUAAACUUCUCUGAAGGCAGCGGCUUCGUAAAAAUAUCAGCAAUUUGAUCCCCUGUUGAGAUGAACUUUACAUUGAGUUUGCCCUGUGAGACUUGUUCGCGAACAAAGUGGUAAUCGACUUCAACAUGUUUGGUGCGGGCGUGAAAGACUGGAUUAGCAGUGAGAUAGGUAGCGCCAAGAUUGUCGCACCAAAGAGUAGGAGCUCCACUGUCCAACCCGAGUUCAUGAAGAAGUGAUUUGAGCCAAAGUAAUUCAGCAACGGUGUCUGCAAUGGCUUUGUAUUCUGAUUCUGUUGAAGAGCGAGAAACCCGCAGUAUACGUUUGACAGCGGACCAGUGAUUCUCGGUAGGAGCAUGCAUGAAUUGACAAACCCGAUUAACGGCAAAGGCAAUGUCUGGUCGAGAAAGAGUAGCAUAUUGAAGAGCUCCAACGGUUUGCCGGUAACGAGAGGGAUCAUCAAGUAAAGGGCUGUCAUCGGGAAGGAGCACAUGAGAGGUGCUCAUGGGAGUAGAGAUGGGCUUGCAAUCUGCCAAACCAGCCCG